CUGCCAUUCAGUGGCAUGGAGACACUGAACUUUCCUCAUAGAGAUGCAUUUGUUCAAAGCAUCUCUGAGGAGAUGCUGAUUGGCCAGGGCUGUGUUUGACUUGUGCUGGCUCUGUCUCCGAUCUGCCUCCUUGACAUUGGCUCACAUCACUUCUGAUGAUGUCAGCCAAUCAGGCAGAUCAGGGGCAGAGGGAGCAGCAGCAGACCAGAUUAAAGGUACGAUUUUACUACAUUUAUG
Non-coding RNA from Pelobates cultripes (western spadefoot toad), 237 nucleotides. NCBI's taxonomy places the organism in Eukaryota, Metazoa, Chordata, Amphibia, Anura, Pelobatidae. The record is from the annotation of a GenBank genome assembly.